GAUGAACGCUAGCGGCAGGCUUAACACAUGCAAGUCGAGGGGCAGCAUGACACGGAGAUUCGUCGAAGUGUUGAUGGCGACCGGCGCAAGGGUGCGUAACGCGUGAGCAACUUGCCCGUUUCUGGGGAAUAACCGGUGGAAACGCCGACUAAUACCCCAUGGCAUUGAUUGGAGGCAUCUCUGAUCAAUUAAAGAAUUUCGGAAACGGAUAGGCUCGCGUGACAUUAGCUAGAUGGCGGGGUAACGGCCCACCAUGGCGACGAUGUCUAGGGGUUCUGAGAGGAAGGUCCCCCCACACUGGAACUGAGACACGGUCCAGACUCCUACGGGAGGCAGCAGUGAGGAAUAUUGGUCAAUGGGCGCGAGCCUGAACCAGCCAAGUAGCGUGAAGGAUGACUGCCCUACGGGUUGUAAACUUCUUUUGUUGGGAAUAAAUGAUACUACGUGUAGUAUUUUGCAUGUACCUUACGAAUAAGCAUCGGCUAAUUCCGUG
This 493-nucleotide ribosomal RNA is filed under the name uncultured bacterium. RNAcentral describes it as "bacterial SSU rRNA". It matches the Rfam family "Bacterial small subunit ribosomal RNA", at positions 28 to 507 of the family's 1533-position model. The record is from RNAcentral.